CAGUAGCCGCGGUAAUACGAGGGGGGCAAGCGUUGUUCGGAAUUAUUGGGCGUAGAGGGUGCGUAGGCGGUUUGACAAGUCUUAUGUGAAAUCUUCGGGCUCAACCCGAAGUCUGCAUGAGAAACUGUCGAGCUUGAGUACGGGAGAGGUGAGUGGAAUUUCCGGUGUAGCGGUGAAAUGCGUAGAUAUCGGAAGGAACACCUGUGGCGAAAGCGGCUCACUGGACCAUAACUGACGCUGAGGCACGAAAGCUAGGGGAGCAAACAGGAUUAGAUACCCCUGUAGUCCCUGUCUCUUAUAC
RNAcentral lists this ribosomal RNA (301 nucleotides) under uncultured bacterium. Its description in RNAcentral is "partial 16S ribosomal RNA". It matches the Rfam family "Bacterial small subunit ribosomal RNA", at positions 509 to 807 of the family's 1533-position model. The record is from RNAcentral.